AAUAUUGGACAAUGGGCGGAAGCCUGAUCCAGCCAUGCCGCGUGUGUGAAGAAGGUCUUCGGAUUGUAAAGCACUUUAAUUUGGGAGGAAGGGUUUACACCUACUACGUGUGAACUUUGAUGUUACCAACAGAAUAAGCACCGCCGAACUUCGUGCCAGCAGCCGCGGUAAUAAGAAGGGUGCAAGGGUUAAUCGGAAUUACUGGGGGUAAAGCGCGCGUAGGUGGUUCGUUAAGUUGGAAGUGAAAGCCCCGGGCUCAACCUGGGAAUUGCUUUCAAAACUGGCGAGCUAGAGUACGGUAGAGGUGGUGGAAUUUCCUGUGUAACGGUGAAAUGCGUAGAUAUAGGAAGGAAUAUCAGUGGCGAAGGCGACCACCUGGACUGAUACUGACACUGAGGUGCGAAAGCGUGGGGAGCAAACAGG
RNAcentral lists this ribosomal RNA (423 nucleotides) under uncultured bacterium. Its description in RNAcentral is "partial 16S ribosomal RNA". It matches the Rfam family "Bacterial small subunit ribosomal RNA", at positions 360 to 776 of the family's 1533-position model. The record is from RNAcentral.